AUUGAACGCUGGCGGCAUGCUUUACACAUGCAAGUCGAACGGUAACAGGCCUUCGGGUGCUGACGAGUGGCGAACGGGUGAGUAAUGCAUCGGAACGUACCCAGAGGUGGGGGAUAACGCAGCGAAAGCUGUGCUAAUACCGCAUGUGAUCUGAGGAUGAAAGCGGGGGACCGAGCAGCAAUGUUUGGCCUCGCGCCUUUGGAGCGGCCGAUGUCGGAUUAGCUAGUUGGUGGGGUAAAGGCCUACCAAGGCGACGAUCCGUAGCUGGCCUGAGAGGACGACCAGCCACAAGUGGACUGAGACACGGCCCCGACUGCUACGGGAGGCAGCGGUGGGGAAUUUUGGACAAUGGGCGCAAGCCUGAUCCAGCAAUGCCGCGUGCGGGAAGAAGGCCUUCGGGUUGUAAACCGCUUUUGGCAGGAACGAAACGGUGUCCGCUAAUACCGGGCGCUAAUGACGGUACCUGCAGAAUAAGCACCGGCUAACUACGUG
Molecule: ribosomal RNA, 492 nt
Filed under: uncultured bacterium
Lineage: Bacteria
Description: partial 16S ribosomal RNA
Rfam family: Bacterial small subunit ribosomal RNA
Source: RNAcentral